UCAGUCCUUAUAAUGCUACUUGUAUGCAUGUUUUCAGGGCUGAUGAUUUGGCACUGGACAGCAACUGUGAGCUAAACAAGGACGAAACCAGCAAACGUGCCACACUUGACAGGGAAAAGCCCACAAAGUCUCCACCUACACAAAAACUACCAGCAAUUGAGUAAAUCUGGGAGCAGGAGAGGUGGCCCUCCUCAGAGAAGGGCACACCAAAUAAUUGUUUGCUUUUUAAUUAAACAAAAUAACAUGAGGGGGGGGUCUCAGGAAUGCAGAAUGAAUAAACUCCUAAAAGAACAGAGAGUGUUUGCUUUUUCCAACAGUAAACAAGGGGUGGGAGAAGGAGACUGUAUAUUCAAUUGUCUAAAAGAGUGAAGAGAGAUGCUGUGAUGGGAAGCAGCCAGCAGACAUCCUCACAGCUUCUAGGCUGGAAAGCCACAAGGCCAUGGAACCACCUUAGAAUAACCACCUGCCACACCAAUUCUGGGUCAGAGAUCAACUCAAUAAAAGGAAAUGGCACAGUUCUGAGGAGACUCCA
This is a non-coding RNA of Peromyscus maniculatus bairdii (prairie deer mouse), 532 nucleotides long. NCBI's taxonomy places the organism in Eukaryota, Metazoa, Chordata, Mammalia, Rodentia, Cricetidae. The record is from RefSeq and is a predicted model, not a curated record.